This 254-nucleotide ribosomal RNA is filed under the name uncultured bacterium. Its description in RNAcentral is "partial 16S ribosomal RNA". It matches the Rfam family "Bacterial small subunit ribosomal RNA", at positions 524 to 776 of the family's 1533-position model. The record is from RNAcentral.
GACGAACCGUGCGAACGUUAUUCGGAAUCAUUGGGCUUAAAGCGCGUGUAGGCGGAUUCGUGCGUCUGUCGUUGAAAUCCCCCGGCUCAACCGGGGAAGUGGCGCGGAUACGACGAGUCUGGAGGGGCAUAGGGGGACCUGGAACUUCCGGUGGAGCGGUGAAAUGCGUUGAGAUCGGAAGGAACGCCCGUGGCGAAAGCACUUUACUGGGCUAUUACUGACACUGAGAGACGAAAGCUAGGGUAGCAAAUGGG